CCUUCCCUUACACAGCCCAACCAUGAAAACAGGCUCUUUUUUGUUUUUGUUUGGUUUUUAGCUAACAACCUUCAUCCUCCCUGCAGGGAUAAAAGGCAUGGCUGGUUUAUGACGGCUCAAGGGUUUGAAUUCAAAUAUCUUCCACCCAAUUCCCUACUUGGCCCCAAUAUUCGGGAAUAAAGGGACAAUUCGGAAAUCAGGACCCAUCCGAGCCAAGGAGGAGAGAAGCAAGGAGGCUAGAGCAAAGGGCGGCCUGCUCUCUACUCCGGAAUGCCCGGCGCGCGGAAACACGCAGCGGUUGCUCGUGUCCGGAGCGCACCGGUCCCGCUGUCUCCACUGCGGUAGCAUCCGGACAUGACAUUGCAGCAGCGACAAAGCGGUGGCCACAACCGGCCGCAGGCAACUGACAGGAUUUCUCCGGCCUCGCACCACGCGGAGGGGCUGGCAGAGGAUGAUACUGGGGUGAGGCUAGGUAUUGGGGCGAGAGGUAGGCCGGGUAGGGGGCAAAAGCCCUGAAAUGCUCAAGACGCCAGGGCGGCCACCACUCGCGCCUCCUCCAAGCAGCCAGAUUGCAAGAAAAAUAAUUCGCUAACACUCCCAGUCGUAGUUCACCCUCUAUCCCCCCCCCAAAAAAAAAUGAUCUAGAAGGAGCCCCCCCUCGGUCUGGCCAUUGCCUUGUAAUCUUCCAAUCCUGCUGGUCCCACCGCGUGCCUCAGGCACUACGGGCCGGGGACCCGCCCCGCUCCCGUACAUCAGCUCGAACGCUACUGACACCCCAGGGCUCCCUCCGAUCGCUCACCAGGAGAAGGGUGCCGGCGACCAUCGUGGCUCCAACUUGGCCGGCGACGCGGCUGCCAGAGGCGAGGGCGGUGAUGCUGCUUGCCGAGGUCCCCAUGGCCGAGGCUGGGGCUCGCAGGGGCGCCCGGAGCGCGCGGCCCCACGGCAGCUGGAAUCGGUGGCUUUUGCUGCCCAGCGCCGCAUCCACCGCCGCCUCCCGGGCGGGGAGCCCAUCUACCUCCAGCAGCCCAUGUGCACUGCAGCAGCCGGGCGGCUGGGCGGAAGAGGGAGGCGGCAGGGGAGGCUCGGGAAGGCGCUCAGCACCUGCCCAGGGGCGCCGGCGCCCGGGCGGGGAGAAGAAGCAGGCGCGCUUGGAACCCACGCCUCCCGGUGCUCUCCAGCGACAGCGGCUGUGGAGAAGCAGGGAGCAGGGCUGACAGAGACACAGCGAAGGAACGACUUCCCAUAGCGAAGCCUCCAGCCACUACCAAACACUCGCCUCCUCCGCUGCCCAGACUAGCUGGCGAGGGACUGACUCGGGUGGCCACUCAGCUUGGGGACACACGUGGUGGCGCCGAAGGGGCGGAGAACCGGCCCUUUGUGAUGUCACCCGGGAGGAGGCCGGGCUCUUUGUGCAGAUGGAGAGCUCAAGGCGUUCCAGAAACCUAGGGAAGGAAAGGGUGCCCCUUGGCGUUAGCUGGAGAAAUUGCGUUUGCUUGUUAGCCUGGGAAUUCAGCACACACCCCUUACUUAACUUUUCUUUGUAAAAUUAUUCCAAGUAAACUAUAUUUAAAACAGA
Non-coding RNA from Cricetulus griseus (Chinese hamster), 1576 nucleotides. NCBI's taxonomy places the organism in Eukaryota, Metazoa, Chordata, Mammalia, Rodentia, Cricetidae. The record is from RefSeq and is a predicted model, not a curated record.